UUGUUUGGUAGGCAGUUUCCAGGAUGAUUCUGCAGCUGUUAUUCAAUGCAAAAUAUCAAAAUAUUUACAGAAACAUACGAAGGCCGAAAAAGCAUUGCUGUUAGUGGUCUCCGAUGAUCAGUACGAUGCAACGUGUCAGGUUGCAAAUGAUGUAAUUUUAGAAGAGGAAAU
Centruroides sculpturatus (bark scorpion) is the source of this 171-nucleotide long non-coding RNA. RefSeq lists it as uncharacterized. The transcript is spliced from 3 exons. Lineage: Eukaryota; Metazoa; Arthropoda; Arachnida; Scorpiones; Buthidae. The record is from RefSeq and is a predicted model, not a curated record.